UAAAACCCCAGAUCAACCGCCAACAUGGGUAAGGUCCACGGUUCGCUCGCGCGUGCCGGUAAGGUCAAGUCGCAGACCCCCAAGGUCGAGAAGCAGGAGAAGAAGAAGGUCCCCAAGGGCCGCGCGAAGAAGCGUCUCACAUACACCCGCCGCUUCGUGAACGUCGUCAUGACCGGCGGCAAGCGCAAGAUGAACCCCAACCCGACCUCUUAAGCGACAAACCACUCUCGGGA
Molecule: unclassified non-coding RNA, 233 nt
Filed under: Hevea brasiliensis (rubber tree)
Lineage: Eukaryota; Viridiplantae; Streptophyta; Magnoliopsida; Malpighiales; Euphorbiaceae
Source: RNAcentral